Molecule: ribosomal RNA, 501 nt
Filed under: uncultured bacterium
Lineage: Bacteria
Description: partial 16S ribosomal RNA
Rfam family: Bacterial small subunit ribosomal RNA
Source: RNAcentral
AUUGAACGCUGGCGGCAGGCUUAACACAUGCAAGUCGAGCGGGGGAAGGUAGCUUGCUACCGGACCUAGCGGCGGACGGGUGAGUAGUGCUUAGGAAUAUGCCUAUUAGUGGGGGACAACAUCUCGAAAGGGAUGCUAAUACCGCAUACGUCCUACGGGAGAAAGCAGGGGAUCUUCGGACCUUGCGCUAAUAGAUGAGCCUAAGUCGGAGUAGCUAGUUGGUGGGGUAAAGGCCUACCAAGGCGACGCUCUGUAGCGGGUCUGAGAGGAUGAUCCGCCACACUGGGACUGAGACACGGCCCAGACUCCUACGGGAGGCAGCAGUGGGGAAUAUUGGACAAUGGGGGGAACCCUGAUCCAGCCAUGCCGCGUGUGUGAAGAAGGCCUUAUGGUUGUAAAGCACUUUAAGCGAGGAGGAGGCUACUCUAGUUAAUACCUAGGGAUAGUGGACGUUACUCGCAGAAUAAGCACCGGCUAACUCUGUGCCAGCAGCCGCAGUAA